GCAUCGAAAAUGUGACUGCAUCUAUGUGGUCGGGCACGCAUGCAGUUUUGUAGCAAGCUGAUGCAUGUGGUUCGAAUCUGAAAUAAUGGUAUUCUGCAAUUUGCAGUGCUAGAAUAGCGUUUGAUGGUACCAUCAGCACAGGAUUUGGCAUGUGUGUGAGGGCAUCAAAUAAAAAACUCUGGAUUUGAUCUGCUGCUAGCAGUACCACAACAAGUUGGCACAGGCUAUGAAUCUCUCAACAGUUGGUUGAGUAGAUUUUCAGAUUACAAGUUGGAGCACUAGCUAGUUUCCAAAUUGAAAACGCAGGCUAGCACAUCAAAAAAUCCGGACAUCAGGUGGAAAUAAGUAAAUUUAAUCAUUUUGUAUUUCGGUCUGUAAAAUAAAGUAGUUUAAACAAGAGUAUUUAGUUAGUUAGUUUGAAGUUGGAAAGAUUAUCGAAAUGUAAAGAGAUUAUCAGAGCCAUGUGAGAAAUGUGAUGAACAAAGAAAACUACAUGUCAGCUGAAUCAUUUGAAAAAUGAAAUGAGCA
RNAcentral lists this long non-coding RNA (528 nucleotides) under Sorghum bicolor (sorghum). Its description in RNAcentral is "long non-coding RNA (SBIC_LNC013153)". The record is from RNAcentral. Lineage: Eukaryota; Viridiplantae; Streptophyta; Magnoliopsida; Poales; Poaceae.